Molecule: ribosomal RNA, 254 nt
Filed under: uncultured bacterium
Lineage: Bacteria
Description: partial 16S ribosomal RNA
Rfam family: Bacterial small subunit ribosomal RNA
Source: RNAcentral
GAGACGAAACAGUGAUGUGGAGUAAAACUUAUAAAAGCGACCUCAGUUCGGAUUGAAGGCUGAAAUUCGCCUUCAUGAAGUCGGAAUUGCUAGUAAUGGCAGGUCAGCAUACUGCCGUGAAUACGUUCCCGGGCCUUGUACACACCGCCCGUCACACCAUGAGAGUUGGAGAUACCCGAAGCCUAUGAGCUAACUUUUAGAGGCAGUAGUCGAAGGUAGAAUCAAUGAUUGGGGUGAAGUCGUAACAAGGUAUC